UGAGAGUUCAAGAGGGCGUGAAACCGCUUAGAAGCAAACAGAUGGAGCUGAUGAAAAGUCGGUGGGCUUCAGUGCCUGGUGCUGCCCAGUGUCAGCGGUGGAUUUCACACCGCCUGCUGAUUACGUGAGGGAUUGGCCCAGGCGUGCAUUUCCGCCGAUGCGCGCUGGAAGCUGUGCUAGCGCCGGAACAAGGCCGGCGAAUGUAAGCCAAUCUUGUUGGUCUCUCGUUGCUGGCGAAAGCCGGGUCGCUGGUACAGUAUUGCGACACCCGCCUCUACUCUGUUCCGCUGGGGAUCCUGGCCGGGUAUUGCUGUCUCUUGCGUGCAAGGUUCAGCUGCUUCGGCCGGGUAAGCGGCGGCGUUCAGAGUCGGUGUCAUUCUGGUGUCUCUGUCAGCCACCCAUCUGACCCGUCUUGAAACACGGACCAAGGAGUCUAACAUGUGCGCGAGUCAUUGAGUGGUGAAACUCAGCGGCGCAAUGAAAGUGAAGUCUAGUUCGGCUGGAUGACAUGGGAUCCGGUUUGCCUCGGCGGCCGGAGCACCAUGGUCCCGUUCGGUCUGCUUUGUCAGACGGGCGGAGAUUGAGCGUACAUGCUGGGACCCGAAAGAUGGUGAACUAUGCCUGAGCAGGAUGAGGCCAGAGGAAACUCUGGUGGAGGUCCAUAGCGAUUCUGACGUGCA
This 680-nucleotide ribosomal RNA is filed under the name Epsilonematidae sp. 467_6-1000. RNAcentral describes it as "eukaryotic LSU rRNA". It matches the Rfam family "Eukaryotic large subunit ribosomal RNA", at positions 382 to 895 of the family's 3401-position model. The record is from RNAcentral. RNAcentral also lists the same sequence under 3 other names. Lineage: Eukaryota; Metazoa; Nematoda; Chromadorea; Desmodorida; Epsilonematidae.